GCAAACUUGGUCAUUUAGAGGAAGUAAAAGUCGUAACAAGGUCUCCGUUGGUGAACCAGCGGAGGGAUCAUUACAGAGUUGAAAACUCCUAAAACCAUGUGAACAUACCUAUUUUGUUGCCUCGGCGUGGUUUUUACACCUGCCGGUGGUCCACUAAACUCUUGUUUUGAACUAUAAGCAUCUGAGUGUUUUACUUGAAAUAAGUCAAAACUUUCAACAACGGAUCUCUUGGUUCUGGCAUCGAUGAAGAACGCAGC
Molecule: unclassified non-coding RNA, 257 nt
Filed under: uncultured fungus
Lineage: Eukaryota; Fungi
Description: partial contains small subunit ribosomal RNA, internal transcribed spacer 1, and 5.8S ribosomal RNA
Rfam family: Eukaryotic small subunit ribosomal RNA (bases 1-73)
Source: RNAcentral